UCCAGCGUCGAAUGAUUUAUGAUACUCUUUACUCUUUGUUUAUAUGGCGUUUGAAUUUUUCUCCCUCUUCUACGCCCUAUUAUGCUUUCCUAGCGUUUUUGUGGCAUAUUCGGAUGAUUUAUGAUAGGUGCUUCUUCUUCUUCUUCUUCUUUUUUAGGCACCCUGUUCAGCCUACCGGGUUGGAGCAAUACGGUCUUGAAUCUUCUUGGUCCCAAUGACAUUGUUGGUGUCCUAAUACUCGAUGUUCCUGGAAUUUUAGGGCACAACAAUGUCAUUGGUACCUAGAAUAUUCUGUAGUUACCUCUUCUGCAAGCCCGGUAGGCCUUCUGCCUUGACAAGAAUGAAACUACGACGUUGAUUUGCUUAAGAUUGGUCACAAGAAUUGAAGGGAUUGUUUAUAUUGUCAUUUCUUGCUUGAUUAACAUUGUGUCUUUCAUGUGAUUGUAAGCUAUAGCAUGUUAUUGCAGCAUCAGUUCUGUGGGAGUAUGAUUAGUGGUUGUCCGGGCGUUGCAAGUUUAAUGGCUGUUACUGGAAUUCAACGAACAAUUGUUGCGUUAUGCCCUAGUAUUGCCCUACCUUUUCAAUCUGCAUUGUUUGGUGAGAAUAAUUUUAUCAAUAAUAUCCGUGAGAGGAGAUAGAUGUCCCAGAAACUUGGAGAAUCCUGUCAUAACAGAGGAGCCGAUGCUUCCUUUGAAGAAAGUGUUAUUGCCUUAUAUCCCAUGCCCCAUAUGAUGCAUUCUGCUAGCGCAGAAGCAAACAUUAAUUAGUGAAAUCAUACUGUAAUCAGAAAAAAAGCUUAGUGGGAGGGAUUGAAGCCUAAUGAUAGGGUUUCUUUCGUUCAGUAGGGAACACCAUUAAACCGAAACCUUGUCCCCAAUCCUAUACUUUAUUUGCAGUUGUCAGGUUUCUGUUCAUAGUCACUGUCUUGGGUUAUGAGUUUUAGAACUUUUAUCUUGAUAAGAUACAUGGGUUGAGUGACGGAAGUGAUACAAUCUCACUACAGCUUUCUUAUGUAAUGAGGAUUUUGUAGCUGUUCUGAUCGUCUAAUGUUGCCGUGUCAUCUUAUGUUCUGUGUGAUUAAAAUGUUAUGAUAUAACUAGUGUUGUUGAGUAAUCUAUGCGGGUGAACCGUUUUUAUGUAGUAGGCUUAAAAGUUUUCUUUGAAGCACUGUUGAAAUAAAAAAGGAGCCUAUCUGCUGAAGGAAACAUGUGAUGUUGUCCAUAAUUUUUGUUCGUAUUCAGUAGGUUCCUUAUGUGACCCCAAAAAAACAAAGGUCCAGGUCGGAUAUUAUAAGAUUAUUUACAUGUGGCGCCAUCAAGCAGAAUUAUCAAAUGUAUUAGUUACUCACUACUUCUAAGAAAGUUUGGAAUGAAAAAUUAGUCCAGAUUACUAGUCCAAGUUUUCAGAGGGCUCAUCCGUAUGAUUUCUGGAGUACAAUAUAACCCAUAUAUGAAUUCAAUGAUUCAAACACCGCCUGAAAUGGACUCAACCACUGAGAUUUCACAUGAGUCCGAAGAACUUGAUUUCAUCAAUUCUUUUUUGCGAUCGACUCCAAGUAUGGAUGACCCGAUCCAGAGUAAUUGGAAGUGGUAACAAUAUCGUAUAUGCAGUCAGACACGAAGAAAAGGAAAAGGAAUUGUGGUAUCUUUUUUCAAUAUAAUGUUCCAAUGAUUUCGAGCUUGUUUGUAGAGAAGGGUUGGUUUGUAUAGCUAGCUAAGUUGGCUUGUCAUAAGUUGUGGCCUACUUUGAUAAUCCCUUGUAAUUCAAUUCUUAGAUAAUUUUGAUUCGGUGUAAUCCAAUCCCUUUAAGUCAAUCCCUUCCAGUAAAUCGAUGCUAGUAAAUAAACAUGACAGUAUGUCAUUUAUUUGAAUCAGUUUUAGUGCACAUUAUCUUGAUGA
This is a long non-coding RNA of Neltuma alba, 1898 nucleotides long. RefSeq lists it as uncharacterized. The transcript has 2 exons. Lineage: Eukaryota; Viridiplantae; Streptophyta; Magnoliopsida; Fabales; Fabaceae. The record is from RefSeq and is a predicted model, not a curated record.